ACAGUUGCGCUGGAAAGUUUCAUGAACCUUAUCACUUAGAGGAAGGAGAAGUCGUAACAAGGUUUCCGUAGGUGAACCUGCGGAAGGAUCAUUC
Molecule: ribosomal RNA, 94 nt
Filed under: Symbiodinium sp. Bise07
Lineage: Eukaryota; Dinophyceae; Suessiales; Symbiodiniaceae
Description: partial 18S ribosomal RNA
Rfam family: Eukaryotic small subunit ribosomal RNA
Source: RNAcentral